UUCGGAGCUGGGAAACUGCUGCAUGUUCUUUGGAGGCUGUGCUCUCUGUUUUGGCCGGUCUAGGACCCUAUGUGGACUCAAUCAAUCCAAAACUGCUCUAUUUACAGCUGGUAUUCCUGAUGAUUGGCAGCAAGAGUUACCGGAUUUAUCUGCAAAGACUAAUGGAACAACGGCUUGUGAUAGCGAUCACUGUUGGCUGUGAUGAAUGUUCUGUGAUCACUAGAGUGGGUUGUAAUUUCCUCUUUUCUUCUGUUUCUCUGGACCAUACACCAACUUGGUUGCUAAUGGCCAGUUGGUUUUUACUGUUGUAAUGAUCCAAGUUCUAAAUGGAGAGAGGUUUUUAAGCCUCGCUUAAAGCAUACGACUGGAGAUGGUGGUUCCGUUUCUUUUUUUCUUCAUCUCUAGUCAAGUCCCUCUCCUCUGAUCAGGACAACAACAGUCAUUCGAAGCUUGAGAACCUAAAUCCUUUAUCUUUUUGGUUUGUGUGACAUGACAAUAGUAGAUCAAAACAUAGGCAGCAGUGGAAAAGCGACAAUAUUACCAUAAGAAAUUUAAAGUAGAAAUUCACUAUAUGGAACAAGAAAUCUAUCACUGCAAACAAUGGAACACAAUUGAACUUGGAUUUGCUAAUGUAAUUGAACACGGUUGGAAUUUCUAAUACAAUCAACCAUAGCUGAACUUUCAUUUGCCAAACAAUGGAGCAUAGUUUUAAUUUAUUUGCAUCAUAACAUUGGUCUCAUCUAUAGUCAUGGAUUAAUCGAUCUAACAUUCCCUAAUGGCCUUAGGAAUUUCAAUCUAAGUUAGCCUUAGUCACUCACAAGUGAUUUUAAAGAGAGAAGCUCUACAUUGUAUUUCACUUGUUAUUAAGAUAAUACAAUGAGGGGGAGGAGGUUUCUAUAUAUAGAGAUCUUCUCUUGAUCUAAUGGUAGAGAUUGCAUCCCCUAACUAUUAACUAUUAGUAUUUAUUACAUAUGUGUACAAUUAUCAUAUUUUAUCGUAUCGCCUGUCCCUAAGAGUAUUCUAGAAUAUUAAAGAAAACCCUGAGACUUUGAGAGAUAGGUUGAGGGUUAUUCGUUUAUGGAUUGAUCAUGGCUUUCAUUUGGAAAACCUCUGCAUCAUGUCAAUUCUUUAGGCUGUGACACCAGCAUCUACCUUCCACUGACACUACUACCUAGAAGCCAAAAAGACAGACAAACAACACCACCAUUUCCAUUCCACCAUUGUUGCUAGUCCAAGGCAAUGGAAGUGGUGUUUUUUUGUCCAGCUUCAAAACCAGCAUUGCGCACAUCAAUCCCGCUCAAUACCACUAUGCCUCUCAAACGCAUUUUCCCUUUGCUUCCAAUUGAGAUGCUUCCACUUGUGUCUUGUUUUUUUUUUUUUUUUAUUUAAUUAUCGUUUACUCCUUUCUAGCUGCAUUUGGAGAAUGUGGGCUUUCUCCUCAGAUACUUCAAUUAACUUUUUUUAUACUUUCAGUCUAUUUUCCAACACCUUCUGUUCAAUGAUCAAUCCACAAAUUGAUUUCUGUUCAAUGAUCAAUCCACAAAUUGAUUCCCUGUCACAAGAUGAGGGCUUAUGAUCAAUCCAUUUGAAAAAACCACAAUCACCAACCUGCCCAAUACAAGCAAGCAAUUCAGAUUGCAUCACAAAACAAUGCACAUCACUAACACGGAACCGAAAAAUUUGAUUGGUGAAUGGAACAGCAUGAACUCAUAAUCACUUCCCUAAUAUGUGGUGUAAAAUUGGUAGCUAUGUGAACUUGUAGCUAGCUAGACUAACUACAGAGAAAGCCGAGAUGAAAAAAUCUGCUCCUUUUUAACCACGGGUCUUAAUCUUAUUGUAAUCUUCUUGCCCUGGCAUCCAAAAGCAUAUGUAGCACAACAAAAACAAUGCACUCAGAAAAAUGAUCAUGUCAAACAAACCGAACAAGCCCAUUAGAUCCAAGUACGAUGGCCUUUGCACCUAGUUCAUACAAGUAUAAAAACUUCAAAUUUGUAUUGUGAUAAAUCUAUCUUUUGUCAUGAUUCUGUCUAAUACCACCACUAAAAAUCCUAUGUGGUUACUUAUUUGGACCGUAAAAGGUAAAAGGAGUUGACAUGGCAUUUACAAUGCAUAAAAGAUUUUUUUUACCAAGAUUUAUCCAAAUGGAGCUUUGAUUCAACCCUCCAAAUCCAGGGUUGCUUGUACCUUCUUGCGUUUUUCUUGCUCUAUGGUUAUGCCCUUACGAGAAGUUGUGCCUUUUUGGCUCAUCAAGACUCCUGUUCAAAGUUUUUGCUUCAUCGCUAUAACCCCUUAAAAUUGUGUUUCUUAGCUUUACAAGUUGUGGUUCUUUGUCUUACAUCCUCAUCAGAAGAAAUGGUCAAGGUUUGCCCCCCGAUUGGUGGAAGAUAAGGAAGACAAAAUUAAGAGAUUUUGGGAUGACUUGAGGCCAAAUAUUAGGAGCAAACUAGUGUUCUUAAACUUGAAGGGUUAAUAGGACUUGUGCGAGCGUGCCCAACUUGUAGAAAAGGAUUUGAUGGAAUUAGCAGCAAUUACGACUUUUCCGGUGACACCUAAUCAACAAGUCUUUCAACCUAACUUUUGCCGUAACAAAAGGUAUAUGCAAAUCGGAAGGUGGCCAUUUGUUUCGAAUAAAAGAAACAAUGUCGGAGGGCUUAGAUUUAUGCAGAAUAAUCAACAGACGGUGCAUUCUACAAAUGAGCCUAACGGUUCCUCCGUCACAUCCUAGGCGCUGCGCUACUUUGUGGGUUAACAAUUUGACAUCUUGAAGACCUUGCCCUCGAACUGCCUGACCAUCUAGUCCCGUAGGUGGAUACAGUGGUUUGGCUUAAUUGUCAAUUAUAGCAUCGGGUUUACAGGGCAUAUAUCCUAAAUUACGAGGAAUUGCAAAGCCUCUUAAAAUUUCUUCACCGUCCAGCCCCCAAGGAAGGUACGGUGGUCUGGCCUGGUUCUCGAUUAGAACAUUGGGCUUAUAGGGCAUAUAUGCCAAAUUGGGAGGAAUUGCAGUGCCUCGCAAAAAUCUAUGGCCGUCCUACCUCCUGGGCGGAGACAGGACUCUAGCCUGGUUGUCAAUUAGAACAUUGGGCCUAUCUGAAGUGUGUUCCGUAUCAGAUUGCACUGUUGGCUCGCAAGGUCUCACAUCCUCAAUAUUACGUACUGGUCCAACUAUCUAUACAGUUUUUAAUCCGCCAAAUUUCCAUUAUCAUUUCCAUUUCAGUUGGUCUGACCAGGUUCACCAGGUUACUCCCUCAUUGGCAUUGUUUUGGGUUGAACCAAUAACUUCAGGCAUUUGUAAAAUUUUAAUCAGUGGUGGAGGUGAAAUUAGUUGCCCUACCGUACCAAAAGUAUAUUGAGCAGAAUAGGAUGAAGGAACAUACCUGAUAACUAUAGGAUUCCCUUGCGUUGGAAAUGACUAGUUUGACAAUGCGGAUUUUGACACAACUUCAGUAAUGACGUUAAUGCGCAUUGGCUUGACCACAUCAGCAUUAUGCUUCGCCAUGUGGUUAGUCAAAUCAUUAUGUUGUUUCUUCAACCUUCUACUCAUAGUGGCCAACAGCACUGGACUUGGCUCUAAUUGUCUCUUCCACUCUUCGGCGAGUACUCUUGGGAUAUUGACUUCCCCACCUUGUUUUGUUCUGCCAUCCCUAGGGUGGUUGACGUUUAAGCAAAUCUUGUCCCUUCAUUGCUUUGUUGAGGUGACGGGUUACUAUCACGGAAUUGUCAGGAUCCAACUGAUUCCUUGUUCUAACCAUCGUAUCCUCAAAUUAACUACACUAAUUUCACGAAAUAUGCCAAAAAAGAUGUUACGCUAUAAUUUGUCUCAAUGAUAAAAUAUUUUUAUCGAAAGUCAUUCUUUGAUUUUUAUAAGAGAAGACAGGUUUUGUGGUGAAUUCGAACAAAAUAUAUCAUUGGACAUAAAGAAAUCGAAAGGUACCCUUCAAGAGAAUUUAAUUAACGUUAAAUCCUUCAAGAGAAUUUAAUUAACGUUAAAAUACACAACACUUUACCAAAAUUUAAUUGAUAACAAAGUGAGAUAAUAGAGAGAUAUAACGGUGGAAUUUAAUCGAUGACGAAGACCCGAAAGCUACAACUAAGAUAACAUGCUGGAAUUUAAUCGGCGACGGGAUUUCUAAAAACUACAACUAGGAUAUGGGAAUUAAAAGAUAACAAAAUAUAUAUUUCUAUUUUGGGGGAGGGGGGUCUAUAAUGCACAAUUACUGGUAUUUAUAAUAUUCACAAUGUAAUUCAUGUCGUCAUGACAUCUUAUCUCCAAACAGUUACUCCUUCACAAUUGCUUCCUGAUUCUAUAUGUUUAUUUGUCGCUAUCUUGACUCUCAUCGAAGUCAAUGCUCGUUCAAAUAUGUCUUCUAAUCAUGAUAUGUUGUGUUCCAUGAUCUUAUCCACGAGCUAUUCUAAAUUCGAAAGCAAAAAAAGAAGAAGAAAAAAUGUACAAUUUAUUAAACUGCAAUCUACAUGAUCAUGAUUGAUAUCUCACGCCUUAAUUACGAUUCCAUAAUAAUGAAGUGGCCCGCUGUCACCGACAUCGUUUGGACAAGAGCCGGGGAGCCGAUCCUGUCUCGAUUUGAAGUACGUAGAAACUCGAAGAAGAAGACCAACGAUUUGGGGCCUAUUUGGAACCUCUUCAGCAGCUGCUCCUCGGCAAACGCGCGGAGGGCAAUAUAACCGGAUGACUCGGCGGGCGCGAGGGUUGACAGGAAAGAUCAGAGGCUACAUUGGUCGGGGUUGAACUUUGUGCACAUGUUUUCUCUCUCUUGCUGGUCGGGGUUAAACAAAGAUUCUGCCGCUCCGGAAAACCAAGCCAAUGACAGUGUUGGAAGAUCUUGCAGCCAAUUCUGAUUGUGAUUGAUUCCAGUAGAUCUUUGAUUAGUGUAGUAAAUAGGAAAUAAUGAUUCAUGUAUAUAAUUUUUCCUGUUUUAUUCUUUUAUUCUUACAUUAUAAAUGGAUUAAUGUACUAGCAUAUAGAAUGGAAUAUAAGAAAACAUUUUCCCAAGUUUCUUUUCCCUUUCUGUCAGUGAGUGAGCACCGUUUUUGGGGAAGGCCAGUCCAUAGGUUUGACUUCUCUGAUGCGACGAUCGAUUCUUUUUAUAGGUAUUUCGUGAACUUUUAUGGUUUGUCUUUGGUUAGCGAAGUUCAUUGAAGUUGCCGUUGCUGGUUCCAUGAAUAGCGGCUUUAUGUGGUCCCCAAAAGGUUGAUCCCCAUUGUAGCUUAUCGCAUCUGAAAUGAUUUUGAUCAAGAUAAGAGGUAAGGAUGAAUAAUAUAUGUAGACUGCGUGCAUUUUAUAUUUUGACCAUUUUAUGGGUCUUGUGAGGCAUGACUUGGAUUUUUUUAGUUGCUUUAAGUGGCUAGUGUUUUUUUAUGAUUUUAUUGACUCGAUAAGGAAUCUUUUUUUGGAAUAUGCUCCUACAUGGAAUUAAUUUUAACUGAAAGGGUCGUUAAAACUGGUCUAGGUCCAAUUAGUGGACCAACCUGAUCCAAUUCUCUCUACUCAAUAUAUUUACCGAAUCCGACCAAAAAAAUAUAUAUUUACCGAAGACCAAGAUUCUUAUAACUAAAAGAAAGAAAAUGAUCUCUUCAUUUGGGGAAGUGUUCUUUCUUUCGCCAAUAUAAAAGAAGUUCUCAGCUUCAUUUUUAACAACAAUGGCGUCAUACUUCUACGGUUUCGUGCCGGCACUCUUGUGCACGCUCUAUGUCAUUCAAGCCUUGGAAUUCAAUCACUCCAAAACCUAAAAAAAUGUGAGUUGCAUAGGCGCCAAGAGGGAAGCACUUUUGAAAUUCAAACAGAGUCUCAUUGAUCCUUCGAGAUGUCUAUGGUCGUGGAUUGGCGAAGGAUGUUGCUAGUGAAAAUGAGUCAAAUGCAACGAGAAGACUGGUCAUGUCUCCAAGCUCAAUCUACGUAACUCCUGUGAUGGCUUUGAGUGUAGCUUCAAUACUCAAGCUUGGAUCCCCAACACCCAAGCUUGGGUCCACAAAGGUUGUGCCUAGGUUUAUCAAAAAUAAGCUUGAAACUUAGUUCCCACGCUCAGGUCCCCAUCAAGGCUACGCACAGGACCAAGUGUUGUGUGACUUGAUCUUGACGCUUGGGUCAGGGUCCAUCAAGAUUGGACCUUGGACUUUGGUGCUUGAACCGAAUUUUUUUAUUAUUCAUAUGUAAGUUAUUAGGGGUCAAAUAGUGUAUAAUUAUUUAAGAAAAUUAAAUCAAAUUUUUUAUAUCAAAGUUCAUUUUCAGUUUUAGUCAAAUAUUAAAAAAUAUUAACAUUUUUUCUGAAAAAAAAAGAACUUCAAUGAAAACAUAUUUUUAAAAAAUAUUAUAUAUAUAUAUUUUUGCGAAAUAAAUAGAGUUUUAGACAUGAACUUUUAUAAUAUCUCGUGUUGAUUGAAUUAGGAGCGGAUUGCCCUAAGGGACAAAGUCCCAUAGUCUUUCCUUGCCGCAAUCAUCAAGAUCAACUUGGACCGGUCAUCGACGUCGAAAUCCAAAUAGAAGCUUCUCGCGAUUCCUUUUGUUCAUUUGUUCUCAGUCGGGAACGCGUCCAGGGGUUGAGAACCGAAUAUCUCGUAAUUGGGUUUUGGUGGAGGAACGAAAUUAAAAGCCAAAACCAAAAUUCUUUAAUGGGGAGCUCUGAAGAACCACUCGAAUGCUCUCUCAAUUGGUCAAACAUGUCGGCAUUGCUGUCGAGCUCUGCGCGCGCUUUACACAAAUUUCCUCCGGAGUAGUCCACAGCCGAGCCACCCCCUCCGUCGUCACGGCGGGCCGCGGUCGUUUUCUCCGUCCGGAUCGGGCCUUGUCCACAGCUCGCGAGGCGGCUCCGUCCACGGAUCAUGCGGCCGCGGCCUGUCCAUGGCCGUGAGCCUGGACGGCGAGUUCGAGAUGCCGGUGGCCAUGGACCGCGCUCGGCCACCAGAAAGGCUUCGGAUCUCGCCAUGACCGGCUCGCUAUCCGGACAGAUCUCAAAUAUUCGGGAAGCAAAGCAGAGGAAGUAGAGGUCGGGUUCGGGAGGACGGAGCUGACCACAGAGACGGCGGAGACGACGCCCGAGCGCGUUCGCCCAUGGUCGAAGGACGCCGACGAUUUCAGCCCGGGACGGCCGGAUCUCAAGAUGUGGAGAACGACGAGACGAGGCGGAGAAAAAACAGAGGAAGCCAGCCACGCUCGCUGGGACGCGGCGGGGGAGGAGCGGAGGGGAGGUCGGGCGGCCGUGGACGAGGAGGCGGAAGAAGAGGAAGAGAGAUAUUUCGGCGGCGGAGAGAGAGAGAGAGAAGUGGGGGAGGGGAGGGAGAUUUUUAAAUUCGUUAACUUAGAUAACACGUGGCGACGUGGCGGCGUACGUGUCAAUAUUUUAAGCGGAAAAAAAACACCCGCCAGGAGCGAUGCCGCGAUGGGGACUGAUGCAAACGAGAAAAGGGGAAAAAAAAUCCUAACACGGCAUCAUUACAUCAUGAUCGCUCUCUGUUUUCGUUCCUCGCGAUGGGGGAGUGAUGCCAAUUUGCCAAAGACAAAAGGGCAAAAAAAUUCCUAACACCGCAUCAUUACAUCAUGGAUCGCUUUCUGUUCCUCACUUAACCGAACCUUUCUCGCCCUUCUCCAGGUAGCCCACCUCUCCCUCUCUUCUUCUCCUCCUCCGCUUCAUCGCACGCUCGCGCGAAUUGUGUAUACUCCGACGUGCUCCGGAUCAACUCCAUCUUCACCACCACCACCACCACCAGCACCUCCUUCUUCCAGGCCUUAACCCCCCAACACCGGGGGCCUCUCGCCCCGCUGCCCCGAUCGGACGCCGGGCUUCGCCACCCCCUAGCAGAGCCGCGGGCGUCGCCGACGAUCGAGGUCGUCUGCUGUGUCGCUGGAUACUGAGCGACGAAGCUCUCGCUGCUCCGUUGCGGCUUCGCGUCCCGGAUUCAUCGUUGCCGGGUUGCGGUGUUGUGCUGCGGCUCGCCUCUUCGGACCGGUCUGAUUGAACAGGUUCGCAUCCCGUUCCGUCUUGCUCUGCUUCGGAAUCUGGGCCCGUGGAGUUGCUGUUUGAUGUGUGUCGCCAAUAUGAGUUUUUCCAUGGCCUCUGAGUGUGUUAUUGCCACGGAUGGUGUGUUGAAUAGGUGUUCCGGUGAACUCUUGAGUGUAUGUCAUGCCAGGGUAAGGUGUUACGGAGAUAGGCAAGGUUUGAAUAUGGACAGGGGAUGUGUUAUGAGCAUAAUGGGUGUUCUCUGUGCUUUCUGGUAUAUGCUGGAUGCUUGGUUGCGAGCCGAGUGGUUAAGUUGAUCAAAUUGUUGUGUGUGAGAGAGUGCUAUGCGAGCUGGGCAAGUGAUUUUUAGUUUAGCUCUGUGCGAGAAUGAGCAAGUAUGGGCCUGUGGGAGCUGCUAAUAAAUGUAUGUGUGAUAUCCAAAAAUGAAUGGUAUAAUGUCUGUACAUGGGCUUGCUGAGCGUGCGUAUGCGUGUUGAAGUUGAUGGCAUGUUCAUCGGAUGUGUGUGCGUUGUACUUUGUGUGUGUGGUGAACGAAAGACGAUCCCAUGAGCUGCAAUUUCGAAAGUCCAAGAACUGCAAUUUGCAGUUCCUGGAGCUAUGAUCUGCAGCUCCAUAAAUCACGAAGUCGUAGCAAUGGAUUUGAUGAUUGCUCUGUCUUUUAAUAGUAACCUUGUAGCCUAAGUGUCCAGUCUGAAUGAGGAAGUUAGGAGUGCAGAAAAUUUGCUCAGUUUGGCUCACGAACUUUAUAUUAUGGUCGGCAUUUAACAGUUGCUGGUAUUACCAGCAAAAACCUUUUGCCCUUCGUCAUCUCUAGUAUUGGCAUUAGUUAAUUUAUCGCCCAUGGACAUAUUUUUUUUCUAUCGUUACACUGAUGGCUGGGGUGUUGUGUUGACUGUGCUUCCAAAGAUCUAUUAUAAACUAAAUGACAUGUGUAGCUUUGGACACUUCAGGUUCUGGUCUCUCUCCAUCAGACAGUUAUUCCUCAGCUGUCUAAUCCCAUCAUAUUUUGGUGAGUUUGCUUCCAGAAUUUUUUGUUUAUUUGCUCUUGAAUUGGACAUCUUUCAUGCUUGAGAAACUUAAGUCCUAAACUGAAAUUUUUUGCAGUGAUUUCUUGACGAGAUUGUAUAACAUUGGUGAAGUCAUCAGUGUCAUGGCUCUCAGCAAUCUCUUCACCCUCAUGACGCAAUGUGGCUUGGAAUACCCCUGCUUCUAUGAAAUGGUUAGGCAUUAUUGCAACCUUCCAUCUUCGUUGCAAAACACAGACCGAAAUUUCAUGAAAUAACCUUGCACUGAUCAUGUCUACUAUAUUACUGACUUUGUAUCAUUUCGCCAGGCAGUUCUGCAUCACAUCAAUUUUCAUGAAUAUGUGAUGAAUAUCUAUAUGGAGCCUAGCAUACUGUAAAUUGUUAUAGAGGUACAAGGUUUAGCAAUGAUCAAGGGUGUCUAAUUGGAACAGUGUUGAUGCAAUAUGUGAACCAUUGCUUUUGGCAACUUAGAUGAUGUCAAGUUCUUUAGAUGGCUGAUAUGCAAGUUUAUGUAGGAAUGGGCUUUAGUAGAGGCGGUAGAGCUAUACAAUGGAGCGGUUUGGACCUUUCCUGACGUGAAGCUGACAUUUUCUGGAUGAUUUAGUGGUUUCAUUGCUUUCUUAUGUUGACCUGCUGAUUGUGUUGAGAGACAUAUGAAUGUUUAAGACAAUGAACUUGAAAGUAGAGACAGUCUAUGCUGCCUUCAUGCUCUUCUGAACCUUUGGAUUGCUUUCUGACACUAUGCUAAUUAUUAAUUGCAGCUGCUUGUUUCCUGCUUAAAAUGCCUCCUCCUUCCAGCAUACUUGGCUGCUGCUUUUGCUAAGAAACUGAGUCGACUAGCACUCCCUGUGCUUCCAGCAGUGGCACUGGUUAUUGUUGCACCUAUCCACGAUCUCUUUCAAUGGCAUCCUACAAUGAACUGUUUGGUGCACAGGGUACAUACUUGGGCUUUGUGCUCGCGUUUAGUUUUUCGUUCUUCUUUUAAUUCUGGUCCCUUAAUACCUGUCUGGAUUUAUUUUUACUUCUUGUUUGAUAUAAAUCGUGCAGCUCAUGCACUUUGCUUUUUUUUUUUUUUUUCAAAUGUAGAACUCCAGAAACCUCCACAAUACUCAAGUUUUGACAUGUAGAUUCACAUUUUAGAUUCCACAAUUUUUUGUUGGCUAAACUUCCUUUAUAAUUUUCUAAAAUUCAAAUAAUGUUUCAAAUUUUGGAAGCAAACAAACGUGUUCUUAUUCUUUGAUCCGUUAUGUGUGCCAUGCAUGUAAUCUCACCAUCUUUGCAGUGAAUGCUGUUCUGCAAGCUCCGUGGGAUGUUUAUUCUGGAACUAUUUUUUGUACGAUUCUUUUAUUCCAACCCCACUUAGUGGGGAAAUGGUUACAUUGUGGUUCUGUGGGAUUCUUGGUGUUAGAUGGAAGAUUUUCACUAAAUGCAUUUUAGCUUCCUGGGAAGCAGUAGAAAUUUAUGAUUUGACUUGUCAAAGUAGCAACACAGAAGUUUCAUUACAUUAUAUGAAACGCUGAUGAUUCGCAGACUGUUUUGAAAUGAAGUAACCCAGGUUUUGGGCAAUGUAUUAGCUAACCCAAAAGCUUUUUAAUGUAAGGAUUUCACUUGAAAGAAAACAUUCUGAUUUUUAUGAACUUAUGGGAUACUCACUGUAAUUGAAAGAGAAUGCUGUGUGCCUCUCAACUUGCAUAAUUUGGCAAUUUUUGCAUUUUAAAUAUUGAUGUGGUUGUUGUUGUUUAUAGGAAGAAAGUAAUGACUUAUUGUGGAUGUUGUUGCCUAGGUAAUGGUAUGACGUAGGUUACAGUUGGAAUGGUGUUGUACGCUCUUUGAGAACCCAAACGAUUGGGGAAAAGCUUUCAUGUUUGUUAAAUAUUCCCAAAUACGAUUUGUGGUGUUUUACUGCAUUGAAAGCUAAUGUAUGCGGGACCCAUGCUUUGGCAUUUUGUUGGCUUUCUCUUGCAAUUCUGCUGUGUCUUUGUUGGUGUUUCAGGCAUCUCCUUCAUGAUGCUUAUUAGCUCCCUUGCGUUCACCAUCAAUGGAUAUACUUCCUCUAAAUUAUUAACUUAUGGACAUUUUGUACUGUCUAGUAAAGCCAUACAAUGGAGCGAAUUGGACGUUUCCUGAUGUGAAGCUGACAUUUUCUGGUUGCUUUUAGUGGUUUCAUUGCUUUCUUAUGUUGACCUGCUGGUUUUGUUGAGAGGUAUAUGAAUGUUUAAGACGAUGAACUUGAAAGUAGAGACAUUCUAUGCGGCAUUCAUGCUCUUGUGAACCUUUGGAUUUUAUUCUCACACUACGCUAAUUAUUAACUGCAGCUGCUUGUUUCCUUCUUAAAAUCACCCCUCCUUGCUGCUGCUUUUGCGAAGAAACUGAGUCCACUAGCACUCUCUGUGCUUCCAGCUGGGGCACUGGUUAUUGUCGCUCCUAUCUGCAAUCCCUUGCGACUGCAUUCUUCAAUCACCUGUUUAGUGCACAAGGUACGUACUUCGGCUUUGCAUCUGGGUUGAUUUUUUUGUUCUUCUUUUGAUUUUAGUCCCUUGAUACCCGUCGGAUUUAGUUCUACUUUUUGCUUGGUAUAAAUCGCGUGGCUCAUGCACUUUGCUUUUUUUCAAAUAUAGAACUCCGGAAACCCCCUCAAUACUCAAGUUUUGACACGUAGGUUCGCAUGAUAAUUUCUGAGAUCCGAAUAAUGUUUUAAAGUUUGGAAGCAAACGAACAUGCUCUUAUUCUUUGAUCCAAUGUGUGUGCUGUGCAUACAAUCUCACGAGCUUGCGGUGAAUGUGGUUUUAUAAGUUCCCUGGGAUGUUUAUUCUGGACUCUUUUUACCCCUCCUCCGAUGCUUUUAUUCCAACUCCACUUUGGGGGAAAAUGGCUUCACCAUAGACGGAUAUACUACUUCUAAAUAGUGAGAAAGGAUGGAUUGUAGGAUUGCUGCUUAUAUUUUUUGUCUGAGCUGCAUUUUUAGAAGUAGAUAUACCUUUUAUUUUGGUGAAAUGUUGGCUCUCAUGAUUGGGGUUAAGAUAGCGAUAUGUAUAAGAAAGGCCUUAAGGGUGCAUUUUCCAAAAAAUCAUUUUUUGGGGAAAGUAGAUAAUUUUCUUUUGUUUGGAGAUAUGUGGUUGAAAAUGUUUUUUGGUGUUUGGAUAUCAUUUGGUAAGUGAUUUCAUGGCAAAAUAAAAAAUUGAAAAUUUAAAUAAAUAUUUAUUUUAUAUAUAUUUUUUCCUUUGCCGGUCGCCGAGGCCCUUGGUGACAGCCGGUUACUGGCCAUAGGCGCGAGGGAGCCGGCGAAGAUGAGCUUGCCUAAGGCCUGCAACUAGCCAAAGGAGUAGAAGGAAAAUGAGAAAAAUAAUUAAAGGAAAAAUAAAAAGAAAAAUAUUAAACAUUCUCAGUGUAAGAAUGCGCAAAAUUAAUUUCAUCCUAAAAAUUUACUUUUAGAAGCACGUAAAGGUGGGGUUGCCAAUUGGGGCUUAACCACUAGGAUUGCCACCCUUCCGACAUGGAAGAGGGAGGUGAGAAUUCAAAUUUCCACAUUCUCAGGGGGAUCGGGAUGGGGACGAGUAAAUUUAGAGAAUGGGUUUCGACUCCCACGCCCUGCACGAGACAUGACAAAAGUCUGAGAGUGAGUGUAGAGUAGGAAUAAAAUAGGACUAAUAAAAAAAAAAAAUUGGGGCUUGUGCCGUUUUUUUUCUUUUCAGAUACGCGUGUCGUAUUUUUAUUAUUAUAAAAAAAAGAAGCAUUGUCUUGAAGCAGGAGUCCAUUAAAAAAACGGUGACCAGGACCAGGAGUCUCUUACAACCCCAUCAUCUACUCCGCCUCCUCCUCCUCCUCCUCCUCUCGGCCUCCGUGCUCUCGGCGACCGUCCCUGUGGCUCUCGGCGAGGUUGGCACGGCUUCGUACUUCGGCCCUCCCUAUGAUCGUAAGUCUCGAACCCCCCACUGCUCCUCUAACAAGCAGAACGGAAGGAGAAAAGAGCUGUGCCAUAUAUAACCUUUUCCUUGCAAUUGAUUCAGGGACGGAGUGCUACGGGGAGGGCUCAUCCCAGUUCCCGGAGAGCAACCUGUUCGCGGCCGUGGGAGACGGACUAUGGGACCUUGGGGCAGCGUGCGGCAGGGAGUACGAGGUCCGGUGUAUCAGCAAGGCGCAGUCUGGCCCUGGACACUGCAAACCCGGCGCCAGCACUAUCCGGGUCAAGGUCGUCGACUACGCCCUCUCGGUCGAGUCCUCGGCCGCCGCCCCCAGGCAGUCCGUGACCGGCGCUGAUUUGGUCCUGUCUCAGGCCGCAUUCGAAGCUAUUGCCAACCCGUCUGUGGAUUCAAUCAGCGUGGAGUUCAAGGAGUUAUAGCAAGAUUGGAGUCUACACCGUCGAAGUAGAUCUUUGCAGAGACGUUCCCUCCUUGUCGCUGAUUUUAAGUUUUAGAAAAAAAGCUACCAAAGAUCAUAGAUUAUAGCAAUGCCUCGGAUUCGUAUCCGUUUGGGACAUUUUUACCAUCUGUUCUGAUGCCGAUGAGUAUCGUUAAAAAUUCUACAUGGUGGCUAAGUGGACGAUGGAAUGCAAAUGGUACUAACGCGGCGCUCAUAUGGAGUAAGUGAAAGAGGAACUCUUUCCCUAAGAUAUUAAUGGAAUGGUGCCGUCUCUUCAUCUCUUUUUGUUUUGGGGUUUAGGGUUCUUCAUAGAAGUCGGUUGCUCUACAUCUCUCUUGGUUGCUCCACUAUAACUAGACAAAAUAUUGAUUGCUCCAUGGGAAGUAGCAAAAUUCAUGGCUAAAAAGUCACUUCCUGCCCGAUUCGUAGCUGAACUCUCUCUGCCACGAUUUAUGAUUUGGGGUCUAGGGUUCUUCCUUGAUUUCUUGAAACCUACGAUUGCUUUACAGAAGGAACUCGAUUCGAUUAUUCAAAGCCAUCAUAUUCUUGGCGUUCUCGAUUCAUCAACAACCUAACGAGUUUUUUUUAGGUUGAUGUGGGUGUACCUUGAUUUCCUUGUUAGGCUACUAUAGUGAUUCUGAAUUCCAACCUUGCUCUUUCCCGAUUCAUUUGGUGAUUGUUUCGAGAGUUGAACUUUUGAGCUGAUUUGCAGCAUCUUUAGGCUUUAUCCUUCUGGUAUAAAAUGUAAGCUGUCAAGACGUGGGCAGCAAAAAUAAAAAUAAAGGAGGAUUUUUAGUUCCUAAUAUCUCAUGGUUUAACUAAGUGGAGUGCAGCUAAGCAAACAAAAGGCUUUGAAUGAAUAUUUAAAUGCGAUCCCUAUUCAUUCUACUGUUUCUGAAAUGAAUUGUUCUACGUGAUAUUAGCCAUAUCCAAUUUUCCGGGAUUUAAUGUUUCUUGUGCAAUCUGUGUAUAGCUUUAUUGAGUUUGGUGAAUUGAUACUUAUCUCUUGCGUAGAUUCACUUGAGCUUGCACCAUGCUGUUACUUAAAGAUAGUUCUACCAUCAUAUAGUGAAUAUAAACAUGGGUUCUUUGCUAUUUUGUUGCAGAUGGAACGCCAUUUCUGCCAUUUCUUAAUUGACCUCACUUGGGUGGCUUUUUGGAGUUCGAAGGAAAUGUGAUUUAUAGCGGUGUGGUUGGACACUUUGUAUUAACCAUCCCAAUUCAGAGAUUGCUGAUAAGAUCAUAUGGAUAUCUUCUUCUGAUGUUGACUCCAUUGAAUCGUUCGGAGCUGGGAAACUGCUGCAUGUUCUUUGGAGGCUGUGCUCUCUGUUUUGGCCGGCCUAGGACCCUAUGUGGACUCAAUCGAUCCAAAACUGCUCUAUUUACAGUUGAUAUUCCUGAUGAUUGGCAGCAAGAGUUACCGGAUUUAUAUGCAAAGACUAAUGGAACAACGGCAUGUGAUUGCGAUCACUGUUGGCUGUGAUGGAUGUUCUGUGAUCACUAGAGUGGGUUGUAAUUUCCUCUUUUCUUCUGUUUCUCUGG
This 14896-nucleotide long non-coding RNA is filed under the name Eucalyptus grandis. Its description in RNAcentral is "long non-coding RNA (EGRA_LNC006822)". Lineage: Eukaryota; Viridiplantae; Streptophyta; Magnoliopsida; Myrtales; Myrtaceae. The record is from RNAcentral.